GCCGGGCACGGGAGCACACGCCUGUAAUCCCAGGAACUGGGGAGGCUAAGGCUGGAGGAUCUCAAGGUGGAGGCCAGCCUCAGCAACUUAGUGAGAUCCUGUCUCAA
Molecule: small RNA, 107 nt
Filed under: Marmota monax (woodchuck)
Lineage: Eukaryota; Metazoa; Chordata; Mammalia; Rodentia; Sciuridae
Source: RNAcentral